This 497-nucleotide ribosomal RNA is filed under the name uncultured bacterium. Its description in RNAcentral is "partial 16S ribosomal RNA". It matches the Rfam family "Bacterial small subunit ribosomal RNA", at positions 28 to 507 of the family's 1533-position model. The record is from RNAcentral.
GAUGAACGCUGGCGGCGUGCCUAAUACAUGCAAGUCGAGCGAACAGACGAGGAGCUUGCUCCUUUGACGUUAGCGGCGGACGGGUGAGUAACACGUGGGUAACCUACCUAUAAGACUGGGAUAACUUCGGGAAACCGGAGCUAAUACCGGAUAAUAUUUCGAACCGCAUGGUUCGAUAGUGAAAGAUGGCUUUGCUAUCACUUAUAGAUGGACCUGCGCCGUAUUAGCUAGUUGGUAAGGUAACGGCUUACCAAGGCAACGAUACGUAGCCGACCUGAGAGGGUGAGCGGCCACACUGGAACUGAGACACGGUCCAGACUCAUACGGGAGGCAGCAGUAGGGAAUCUUCCGCAAUGGGAGAAAGCCUGACGGAGCAACGCCGCGUGAGUGAUGAAGGUCUUCGGAUCGUAAAACUCUGUUAUUAGGGAAGAACAAACGUGUAAGUAACUGUGCACGUCUUGACGGUACCUAAUCAGAAAGCCACGGCUAACUACGUG